RNAcentral lists this ribosomal RNA (497 nucleotides) under uncultured bacterium. RNAcentral describes it as "partial 16S ribosomal RNA". It matches the Rfam family "Bacterial small subunit ribosomal RNA", at positions 28 to 507 of the family's 1533-position model. The record is from RNAcentral.
GAUGAACGCUGGCGGCGUGCCUAAUACAUGCAAGUCGAGCGAACAGACGAGGAGCUUGCUCCUCUGACGUUAGCGGCGGACGGGUGAGUAACACGUGGAUAACCUACCUAUAAGACUGGGAUAACUUCGGGAAACCGGAGCUAAUACCGGAUAAUAUAUUGAACCGCAUGGUUCAAUAGUGAAAGACGGUUUUGCUGUCACUUAUAGAUGGAUCCGCGCCGCAUUAGCUAGUUGGUAGGGUAACGGCUUACCAAGGCAACGAUGCGUAGCCGACCUGAGAGGGUGAUCGGCCACACUGGAACUGAGACACGGUCCAGACUCCUACGGGAGGCAGCAGUAGGGAAUCUUCCGCAAUGGGCGAAAGCCUGACGGAGCAACGCCGCGUGAGUGAUGAAGGCCUUCGGAUCGUAAAACUCUGUUAUUAGGGAAGAACAAAUGUGUAAGUAACUAUGCACGUCUUGACGGUACCUGAUCAGAAAGCCACGGCUAACUACGUG